UGGAGUUUUUGACGUUUGUACAUGUAGUUCCGUAAUUUCAAAUUAUUUCUGGAAAUAGUUGGUGGUAUUUUAGUUCCAGAAUCUAUAAAUUUAGGGGUUAGGGUUUGGGGUGUCCGAUUCCGAAACCCCGAAUAUAAAGAAACGAAAUUCCGUAGUCCCGAAUAAGUAAAGACAAAAUCCUGUGUUAAAGGUUCUACCAUUCCUCAAUAAUAUCAAAUUGGAAUAUGGGAUAUUCUUUCAAUUUUUAAGGUUAAAGAAACAUGGAUAAAAACUAAUCCAUGCAUUCAUGUUUCAUAUUAUUUAUAUUUCAUUUAUCUGUAAAGAGAAAGUUUAAAGUUCGUGAAAUGAAUACGCAGACAGGACUGCCCCCUUGCGAUGCCCAGUACUUGAUUUGUCAAAAGUUGGUGAAACGGAGAAAUGAAUACGCAGACAGGACUGCCCCCUUCCGAAGACCAGUACUUUAUUUGUCAGUCUACUUAUCGUUUUUUUAUUGUUCUAAUGAAGUUAUAUGCAAUACUCAGACUCUGUUAAAAAAAUAGUUUACUAGAAUUAUUCCUUCUUUACCUUCAGUGUCGCUUUUCCUUUUUCUGCAAGAGCCUGUUUUUAACUAAAGAUCCAUGAUGAUUAUCGUUACUAUAGGUUAAUGUAAUCGAGAAACAUCACCCGUUGAGAUGCUGAGUUAUAUCCAGGAAGAAUAGUUUAAAAGGAAUGAUGACAAGUUAUAGAAAUUAAGGUUGAGACAGAACAACAAAUGACUAUUAUAUUUAUAUAUAUG
Molecule: long non-coding RNA, 775 nt
Filed under: Mytilus galloprovincialis (Mediterranean mussel)
Lineage: Eukaryota; Metazoa; Mollusca; Bivalvia; Mytilida; Mytilidae
Source: RNAcentral